Fundulus heteroclitus (mummichog) is the source of this 202-nucleotide long non-coding RNA. RefSeq lists it as uncharacterized. The transcript is spliced from 3 exons. The record is from RefSeq and is a predicted model, not a curated record. Lineage: Eukaryota; Metazoa; Chordata; Actinopteri; Cyprinodontiformes; Fundulidae.
ACUUCCUCCUUCACCAGACCGUUCAUGGCUGUUACGGAGGAAGGUGGGCUGAUGUCGGCUGGGUAUGAUAUUUGCUGCUGAACAGUUUUCAUAUCACUCUGUACAGAAUAAAUACGCCAUCAGUAGGCUGACCUGGAAUGCCUGAGCGGUGGUCACUACACAACGCAGAGUCAAACAAGUAGCACGCCUGAGGCCGGCUACA